Molecule: ribosomal RNA, 243 nt
Filed under: Trichormus variabilis V5
Lineage: Bacteria; Bacillati; Cyanobacteriota; Cyanophyceae; Nostocales; Nostocaceae
Description: partial 16S ribosomal RNA
Rfam family: Bacterial small subunit ribosomal RNA
Source: RNAcentral
GGCUAACUCCGUGCCAGCAGCCGCGGUAAUACGUAGGGUGCGAGCGUUGUCCGGAAUUACUGGGCGUAAAGAGCUCGUAGGCGGUUUGUCACGUCGUCUGUGAAAUCCUAGGGCUUAACCCUGGACGUGCAGGCGAUACGGGCUGACUUGAGUACUACAGGGGAGACUGGAAUUUCUGGUGUAGCGGUGGAAUGCACAGAUAUCAGGAAGAACACCGAUGGCGAAGGCAGGUCUCUGGGUAGU